This 285-nucleotide unclassified non-coding RNA is filed under the name plant metagenome. RNAcentral describes it as "partial contains small subunit ribosomal RNA and internal transcribed spacer 1". The stretch from base 1 to 54 matches the Rfam family "Eukaryotic small subunit ribosomal RNA", at positions 1778 to 1831 of the family's 1831-position model. The record is from RNAcentral.
GGAAGUAAAAGUUGUAACAAGGUUUCCGUAGGUGAACCUGCGGAAGGAUCAUUAUUGUAUAACCGAGGUGCGAGGGCUGUCGCUGACCCGAAAGGUCGUGCACGCCCGAGUGCCCUCACACACAUCCAUCUCACCCCUAUGUGCACCACCGCGUGGGUCCCCCUUUGGCUUGUUCGGAGGGGGGCUUACGUUUUCACACAAACUUUGUAUGCAGUGUAGAAUGUAUUUUUUGUUUUUGCGAUCACGCAAUCAAUACAACUUUCAACAACGGAUCUCUAGGCUCUC